This 494-nucleotide ribosomal RNA is filed under the name uncultured bacterium. RNAcentral describes it as "partial 16S ribosomal RNA". It matches the Rfam family "Bacterial small subunit ribosomal RNA", at positions 28 to 507 of the family's 1533-position model. The record is from RNAcentral.
GACGAACGCUGGCGGCGUGCUUAACACAUGCAAGUCGAACGGUUAAGCGCCUUCCUUUUUGGUGGGUGUGGAUGAGUGGCGAACGGGUGAGUAACACGUGAGUAACCUGCCCCCUUCUUCUGGAUAACCGCAUGAAAGUGUUGCUAAUACGGGAUAUUCUGGGUCUGUCGCAUGAUGGGUCUGGGUAAGAUAUUGUUUAGGUGGGGGAUGGGCUCGCGGCCUACCAGCUUGUUGGUGGGGUGGUGGCCUACCAAGGAGGGGACGGGUAGCCGGCCUGAGAGGGUGCACGGACACACUGGGACUGAGACACGGACCAGACUCAUACGGGAGGCAACAGUUGGGAUUAUUGCACAAUGGGGGCAGGCCUGAUGCAGCGACGCCGCGAGAGGGAUGGAUGCCUUCGGGUUGUGAACCUCUUUCGCUAGAGAAGCAGUCCUGCCUCGUGUGUGGGUGGGUUGACGGUAGCUGGAUAAGAAGCGCCGGCUAACUACGUG